Molecule: long non-coding RNA, 921 nt
Organism: Humulus lupulus (European hop)
Lineage: Eukaryota; Viridiplantae; Streptophyta; Magnoliopsida; Rosales; Cannabaceae
Exons: 4
Source: RefSeq, a predicted model, not a curated record
UUUUCUUUUAAUAAAUAAAAAGGGUACGAUGAGACCAUUUGUUUUUGUUUCAUUUUUUUUGCGUCUUUAAGAUUCAGUACUUUGUAAUGGUGACUGUGUUGCUAAAGUUUAAGCAUCAUGUUUUCUAAUAUUCUAUUUUUUUGUUCACUUUAUAACAUGUAGAUUGGCAAUGAUCUUUCUCAAUUUGUGGGGCCUCUUAUCUUGAAUCAACUUCUACAGUCUAUGCAACAAGGGGACCCUGCUUGGAUUGGAUAUGUGUAUGCCUUCUCGAUAUUUGUUGGUGUGUGACAACAAGGUACAUAGUCAGCUGAGCUAUGUUUUGAAAGAGCAAUUGAAGAGACACUGAGCUAUCCUCCUACUGCAUACUCUGCUUUCUGGUAUAUGUGUGUAUCAGCCCUUCAUGUCUUAAAGUCAACUUUCUUGCUCUGCCAAGUGUUUAACAUGUUCAAUUCAUGAUAUGCUGAGUUCAAAGAUGUCAUUUCAGGUGAGAAAACUAGAAGGAAAAGAGGAUUGCAGUAAGGUAAGUUUCUAAUACAAAUUUUUUUUGAUCUUAAUUUGUUUUGUGAUAAUUGACCAUGACUGUUUGAAAAUAAUUGUGUAUGUGUAAUUUUCUGUCUUUAGUAUAUAUAUACAAUUGUGUACAUAAUGUCUAAUUUUCUAUCUUUAGUAUAUAUAUACAAUUGUGUACAUAAUGUCUAAUUUUCUAUCUUUAGUAUAUAUAUAUAUACAAUUGUGUACAUAAUUGUAUAUCAACAUGUUUGGAAAUAAUUAAGAUGCUCUUCAUAUAUGUAAAGUACAAGUUAGUUUGGGUUGUUCAUAGCAUAGCAGCAUAUCUAAUUAGCUCAGCUUCAGCUGAUGCUUAUUUGUUAUACAUAUAUCUUUAUUAUAAGUUAUUACAAGAUCCUCAUUAGUAUUACAAUA